GGGCAGGUAGAAAGUGGUCGCCCCACACCAACUUCAAUUAGCAUAUGCUGAUUGCGAAAGUAGUGUGGGGAGGAAAGUCCGAGCUCCUUUAGGGCAACGUAGUGGGUAACGCCCACCACCUGAAUUUUAAAGUUCAGGGCGGAUCAGAGUCACAGAGACGAGCCCGGCAUUAACUUGUCGGGGGUGAAACGAGACAAUCUCUACGUGGAGUAAGGCCGAAUAGGAGAUGAGGGAUGCCCGUCCCGGUUCCCGCAUUUUGCGGGAGGACCGCUUCGGCGGGAAAAAGUCUCGGGUAGGCUGCAUGAUUCUGAUAGUAAUAUCAGAGCUAAGAGAAAUGACCAUAAAGGAAGCGGAUAUUCGCAUCCAAAACAGAACUCGGCUUAUUCUGCCUGCCCUGCU
RNAcentral lists this RNase P RNA (399 nucleotides) under Candidatus Omnitrophota bacterium. Its description in RNAcentral is "RNase P RNA component class A". It matches the Rfam family "Bacterial RNase P class A". From Rfam's summary of the family: Ribonuclease P (RNase P) is a ubiquitous endoribonuclease, found in archaea, bacteria and eukarya as well as chloroplasts and mitochondria. Its best characterised activity is the generation of mature 5'-ends of tRNAs by cleaving the 5'-leader elements of precursor-tRNAs. Lineage: Bacteria; Pseudomonadati; Candidatus Omnitrophota. The record is from RNAcentral.